CAGCAUCCUAGCCGAAGCGCGGACCUCAGUCCCGGCUGGCCGUAUUACACCCUGGGCUAUAACACCUCCACCGAAGUGGAGGCCACAUUCCCAGAGCCUUUAUCCGGCCGCCGAAACUGAUGCUGGCCUGUCCAAACUGAGUAAACCGGUCAGAAGACCGGCCGAACAGUUUAAACAAGUCUGAUUGCAAGCGCUUCCCUUUCAACAAUUUCACGUGCUUUUUAACUCUCUUUCCAAAGUGCUUUUCAUCUUUCGAUCACUCUACUUGUGCGCUAUCGGUCUCUCGCCAAUAUUUAGCUUUAGAAGAAAUUUACCUCCCAUUUAGAGCUGCAUUCCCAAACAACUCGACUCGUCGAAGGAGAUUUACAUAGGGUGCCAUUUCCUGUCACAUACGGGAUUCUCACCCUCUAUGACGUCCUGUUCCAAGGAACUUAGACAGGCGGCUUCCCCAAAUCAUCCUCUACAAAUUACAAUGCGAACCCGAAGGCUAGCUUUCAAAUUUGAGCUGUUGCCGCUUCACUCGCCGUUACUAGGGCAAUCC
RNAcentral lists this ribosomal RNA (541 nucleotides) under Aureobasidium proteae. RNAcentral describes it as "partial 26S ribosomal RNA". The record is from RNAcentral. Lineage: Eukaryota; Fungi; Ascomycota; Dothideomycetes; Dothideales; Saccotheciaceae.